RNAcentral lists this ribosomal RNA (396 nucleotides) under Enterococcus casseliflavus. RNAcentral's name for it is "bacterial SSU rRNA". It matches the Rfam family "Bacterial small subunit ribosomal RNA", at positions 28 to 404 of the family's 1533-position model. Lineage: Bacteria; Bacillati; Bacillota; Bacilli; Lactobacillales; Enterococcaceae. The record is from RNAcentral.
GACGGACGCUGGCGGCGUGCCUAAUACAUGCAAGUCGAACGCUUUUUCUUUCACCGGAGCUUGCUCCACCGAAAGAAAAAGAGUGGCGAACGGGUGAGUAACACGUGGGUAACCUGCCCAUCAGAAGGGGAUAACACUUGGAAACAGGUGCUAAUACCGUAUAACACUAUUUUCCGCAUGGAAGAAAGUUGAAAGGCGCUUUUGCGUCACUGAUGGAUGGACCCGCGGUGCAUUAGCUAGUUGGUGAGGUAACGGCUCACCAAGGCAACGAUGCAUAGCCUACCUGAGAGGGUGAUCGGCCACACUGGGACUGAGACACGGCCCAGACUCCUACGGGAGGCAGCAGUAGGGAAUCUUCGGCAAUGGACGAAAGUCUGACCGAGCAACGCCGCGUGA